Molecule: long non-coding RNA, 771 nt
Filed under: Capsicum annuum
Lineage: Eukaryota; Viridiplantae; Streptophyta; Magnoliopsida; Solanales; Solanaceae
Description: long non-coding RNA (CANN_LNC007254)
Source: RNAcentral
AAAGCAUUUUUCAUUAUGAAUAGAUUAGACAAUAGAGGAAGACAUAAAAAUAAGAAAUCAUACUUCCGUAUAGAAAGUAAAGAGAAUAUAAUUUCAAGCUUUAAUUUCAAUAAAUCUUUAAAAAAAAAAAAAUACUAAUUCUUCACUUGACAAUCUCUCCAUUGUUUCUUAACUCAGGGAAAAACACAAUAAUUGUUUAAUAAUGAUGGAGAUGAGCUGAAAAAUCUUUUUUGACUAUAAAUUUUCCUUUGUUUGAUAUCACAAAAAUAUCACCACAUUGUUGUUCUGCUUGAGUAAAUGAAGAGCAAAUGAGGCGGGCCGUGGGCGCAGAUAGGUCACACCUUGAACUCAAAUGACACUGUUUUGGUUAUUUUGGCUAUUUUGGCUAACCGUCUGCACGGGUGGCCUCCCGACACGUCCAUGUGAACUUUAGGGCCCUUUUCAUGGAGAGCAAAUGAGGCGCGCGGUGGGCGCAGAUAGUUCACACCUUGAACGCAAAUGACACUGUUUUGGCUAUUUUGGCUAACCGACUGCGCGGGUGGCCUCCCGACACGUCCAUGUGAACUUUAGGGCUCUUUUUCUUUCAUAUUUAGCCUUCUAUUAUGAAUGGCCUGCUCAUCUUCAUUUUCAACCUUUACCUGCACAAAUGAGCAUUAUACAUGAGAUUAAAACCAAAUCAAUGAAAAAACAUGAUAUUUUAAGCUUAAAAGGUGCUAACAAGUCAUCAAAUUGACGGCUUAUCAUUUUACAAUGAAAAAUGGUCAUCCUUUU